Molecule: ribosomal RNA, 119 nt
Filed under: Helianthus annuus (common sunflower)
Lineage: Eukaryota; Viridiplantae; Streptophyta; Magnoliopsida; Asterales; Asteraceae
Source: RNAcentral
GGUUGCGAUCAUACCAGCACUAAUGCACCGGAUCCCAUCAGAACUCCGCAGUUAAGCGUGCUUGGGCGAGAGUAGUACUAGGAUGGAUGACCCCCUAGGAAGUCCUCGUGUUGCAACCC